CUAUUUAUCGAGAGGGGGGUGAGGGGGAAGCGGAGGAGAAUUGUCGUGAGCUGUUAAGCAGAAUAGGCUAGUAGUAACCUGAAGAGUCAUGUGCAUGCUAAACAAUUUUGAUAGUAACAUGUUUAUUUCUGUCUUUCAAAUUACCAAAGUGACUCCUUUCACCCUGGCGAAGAAGGCUGGACUUCCUAAAGAGAAGGUGGAGGAAAUCCACAGAAAAGUUACAAAAUUUGUGGUGAUGGGACUCCAUUCCUUUUCGACAGUGGAAUCACCAUCUUUCAGGUGAAAAUGCGGGCUAUGAUAUCCAAAUACAAUUUCCUUGAUGCAUAAGGCCACACCUCUGUACCAUGAAGAUAUCAUGUGUACAAGACUAAUAUCAUAUGUAUUUUUUUUAUAUAUAAAAGGGAGAUGACCACUAACCUGACUUUCGCCAGAUCCUGUAGUUCGCUGUCUGCUUCACACAAGGAUCUGGGACUUCUCGAUAGGAGAUGUAUUUCUGAAGGCGGGUCCUUGUAAAACAUCCUCGCAUGUGAUUCGAUAAACCACUUGCCUGUUAUCUUGAAUGAUGUGCUAGGCUUCUUCAAGCUCUUGCCAAACCCGGUCGGUAGAAGAGUAAAAACAUCCUUGCCACCAAUAAAUGUCUUCAAAACUAUUCUCUGUUAAUCUUUUAAAGAAUGAAUACUCGAUAGAUUCGACAAAACGGUUGAAAUAGCAGAAUCAAUGUCAGCACAAGACUCCUCGCUGCGUGCCGCCAUUGUUAUUUGAAUCAAACACUCGCUUCGGCGCUCCUGAUUGGUUGCUUAUUUUUUGAUCACUGGCCCAGGGGUUUGGAUUGCCCUCGCGUCCAGACCCUUGUGUGGAGCUCAGCGAAAUGCCUCUGGUGGAGCAUGGCGGAACUACAAGGGUCUGGCGAGAGUCAGGCUAGAUGACCACUGCCCUGAAUCCGAAAUAUCAACCACCAUCCAGGGAUGACAUUUCAAAUACCUUAAUUAUUAAUACCUGCAUGGUAUAAUGUCAUCAAGCAGAAUGUCAUUCAGCAGCUGGCACAGGUCAGCAAAAUAGCCAUUACAUGCGAUGGAUGGACCAGUGUGGCGCAGGACCACUAUCUAACAGUGACGUCCAUUACAUCCACAAGGGCAGCAUCCAGCAAAAAGUGCUAAGCACCGAAGUGGUCUAUGAGGCCCAGACAGGGCUAGUGGUGGCAGAGGAAAUCAAGAGUAUUUUUGAGGACUUCCAGUUGACUGGAAAAGUCAUUGCUGCCACAGCUGGACAAUGCGAGCAAUAUGGAUGUUGCCCUGAGAAACUUACCGUUUUUAAAAGUUGGAUGCUUUGCGCAUACACUGAACUUGGCAGCACAGAAGGUCUAUGGCAUCCAAACUGUGACCAGGUGGUGUGCAAAGAUCCGCGCAGUGGUGGUGUGGCUGAAGCGCUCCACCAUGAGCAAAACUGUCCUGAGAGAGAAGCAGCGACUCCUCAGUAAAUAGAAUACAUAUAAUUCUAAAUACAUCUUUAAAAGUAAUACAUGAUUUAAAUAUUAACAGUUGUUUAUUGUAAUUCAAAUGCCUGUGCUUUAGAUUUGCCAGAGCAUAAUGUUAUCCUGGACGUGAGGAGUCGCUGGAAUUCUCUCUACCUCAUGGUGGAGCGGUUUGUGGAGCGGUUCCCUGCAAUCCAGGCAGCUUGCCUCGAUCAAAGGCUAAGAAGGCCAAUGGAGAGGGACAGAUGAGACUAGAGAGGCUCACAGAGAGUGAUUUUGAAAAGGCAGAGGAAUUCAUGCAAUGCAUGAAAGUCUUGUACACUUCAACCCUCUGUGUGUCAAGUGACAAGUCCCCCACAUGCAGCCAAAUCAUCCCAAUCCUCACAAAGCUGGAGGCACAUUAUUCAGCCGCCGAUGAGGACAAUCCCUUUGUGACUGCUAUAAAAGAGAAGGUCUGGGGAGAUCUUGAAAAAAGAUACCAGGAUCAGGACAUUCAAAACUUCCUUCAGGAGACCACAUUGAGGGAGUUGGUGUUGCAGAAGCUUGGGAUAGGCUUGAGAAAGCAGUGAUUGACCGUGUCACAGCAGCUCAGCUUCCUACAGAGUAGGACCCUCAUCAGAGUGAGGCAGAAGUUGAAGGUGAUGGUGAUGAGGUGGAGGAGGACCAAGCGAACAGACAUCCAAGAGGAGCUCACAGGAUGUCAGCCUUGGAGCAGUUAUUUACGGAUGAAGACCGGGAACUUCUCCACACAACUAUGAGCACAAGUAGUGCCCUCUCCAUCACGGAGCAGGUCCAGAAGGAGAUAGAGCUCUACAAAGGCAUGCCAGCCAUCCCAUCAGGACAAGACCCUGUGGCUUGGUGGUGGGGUAAGAGGGAUACCCUCCCCAAUUUGUCUGCCUUGUCAGAGGUAUACUUGUGCGUGCAGGCCUCAUCAACCCCCUCGGGGAGGGUUUUCUCCUGUGCUGGACAUGCAAUUAGUCAGGAAAGAUGCCGUAUACUGCCAGAGAAGGCCAAUAUGCUGAUAUUCCUGCAGAAGAAUUGCUAAAAACUGUUAUUUACAUGUGCAAUACUGCUGUGCAAUAUUUUGUUCCAUAUCCAUAUGUGUGUUUUAUAUUUAUAUCUAUUUUAAUAUUUAAGGUGUCACACUGUUCAGGUCACUAGGAAGAGAAAAUGGAGAUCUGGUAGUAAUCUUUGUUAAUCUCCAGUAUAUUGUACAGUUCUAUUGUUUGAUACAAUAAUGUUCUAUUUGAUGUUAUGUAUAAUUAUAUUGGCUUAUUUAUAUUUAUUAUCAUUGUUCCUUGUAUUUAUAUUGUUAAAGACUUACUGUAAGUUAAUAUUUUGUUCAAAUUGGCCCUCGAAAUAAAAGGGU
Molecule: long non-coding RNA, 2840 nt
Organism: Sardina pilchardus (European sardine)
Lineage: Eukaryota; Metazoa; Chordata; Actinopteri; Clupeiformes; Clupeidae
Exons: 5
Source: RefSeq, a predicted model, not a curated record